Syzygium oleosum is the source of this 1828-nucleotide long non-coding RNA. RefSeq lists it as uncharacterized. NCBI's taxonomy places the organism in Eukaryota, Viridiplantae, Streptophyta, Magnoliopsida, Myrtales, Myrtaceae. The record is from RefSeq and is a predicted model, not a curated record. The transcript is spliced from 2 exons.
CGGAAAAGGUCGAGGUGAAAGAAGAGUCGGAUGAGCCGAUUCGAUUUUUAGCGUUGGCAGUUGUUAGUUCAGUUGGUUGAAACCCUUGUAUCGAGGGCAAGAGCAAGAUCGAGGGAAAGUUUUCACGUUGGACUAGGAUUUUGGUCUCUUCGAUUGGAGGAAUAGCAAGGUGUCAAGCAAGGUGUUACCGACAACGUGCUUGUCUCCGCUGCCGUUCGAUUUCAUCGGAGCUUCUACUUCUUCCAUGACUACAUUUUGUUUCUUUGAGCUCGUCAGGACCGAUCCAAUCUCAUUCUGUUCGUGUCGAACUCGGACAGCGUUACUGUCCUGAUGCAAAACGUACCGUUCUUUCUGUCGCGACCGACCAUGUGGAAAACGAUGGUUCUCGGUGGAAAACAGAUGCUUCCAAAUGCGGCCUAAUGCUGUUGAACAAACAAAGCAGGCAUACAGAAUCUGUGGAUCCCAACUGCAGAUUCGGGCAAAUCUAGUGUUGGAAAGACGACACGGCUCGCGCGCAUGUGAUGGAAUUACGGGCAGCGUUCGGGACUCGCGGCCAUUGCACUAAAACCUCGUUCAUGCUAAAGAGAAAACCAAAGCGACCUAUAGUCCGCGACGCGACGGAGAAAGAUGUCACGAUCCCGCGCGAAACCACUCCUUUCGCCGCUGGUUUUUUGAGCACCCGUCUAAUCUCUACCUGACGGGCGACGGAUGGGAUUUGUCGCGGAGGGUGCGGAGAAGAAUCCAAGCAGAGGAAUGGACGGAUGGGAGGGAGGGAGGGAGGGAGGGAGGGAGGGAAGGUAAGGUGUGUCGGAGUGUUAGAAACGUGGAUGGGACCGACGAGCGUCAGCAAAUUCGGCGGUCGUCGAAGCGUCCAACCGAAGUUGACGGGGACGAGGGGACACAUUUCGAAAUGACCGGUUCCAAUAGGCCUCCUUGCCGAGAUCAAUUAUUGAUGAGGAUCGAGUUAGAUCUUGAAUGGGGGAGCCCUGGGGAAGAAUUGGAAAUUUUGCAAUGGUGUCUUAGCUUGCUUGACUUAGAGAAGAGGAGAUCGAUGCCGCGCGUCUAUUCGCGUGUCGGGGUGCCGAAAACGAAGAGGACGGUGUGGGGAUUGCGUCGGGGACUCAUUAGCCAGUGCCCCGAUAGCAUAUUUGCUAACAUAAUUUAUUAUAUCAAAAAGUUCGUGCAUCCUUUUCUUCGUUCGGUUAAUGUCUUGAGCUAUGCAAAAUAUGCAGUUAUAGAGGCGAGCUCGACGUAGCAUUGAGCAAGUCCUUGUAAAGUCGAUGCUAUUUUUUUACGUGGUCCAUGCCUAACGAACGCAUCGGUAAAAGGCAAAAAACAAACAUGGUAGAUGCGAAAAGAAAGGGUGCGAAUGGGCAAUCAGCGUCGGCAACUCCCCAGGGCGUUGGCACAGGAGAGUUUUCAGACCUGUUAUCGGAAUGUUCGGUUUGAGGCAGAAACCAAACCGCCGCUCAUUUUGAGUUCGAUUGGUUUCCGCGCUACCUUCCACGGAUUGCUAUUUCUUCACACAGAUCUCUGGUUCAGUCCCAAAAUCACCCCUUCAUGUUGAAAGAAACGAUUAAACAACGACGACAAGAUCACAGCCAAGCAAGGUAGGAAUAAGCUCAUAUAAAAGCUCUGAGGUUCAGCACGAGAGAGAGAGAGAGAGAGAGAUACUAGGCUUGUACUAGAACUUCUAGUUAUAGCAGGAACUGCUGCUGCUGCUACAGCAGGGAAGCUUUUGUAACUUGUGAAUUUUCUUUCUUUUUUGUACAUGUAGCUCGUGAUCAACAUCAGUAAUUUGAAUACUGCAUAGUAUAUGAUUUCCUUA